RNAcentral lists this ribosomal RNA (460 nucleotides) under uncultured bacterium. RNAcentral's name for it is "partial 16S ribosomal RNA". It matches the Rfam family "Bacterial small subunit ribosomal RNA", at positions 338 to 795 of the family's 1533-position model. The record is from RNAcentral.
CCUACGGGAGGCAGCAGUGAGGAAUAUUGGUCAAUGGGCGUAAGCCUGAACCAGCCAAGUCGCGUGAGUGAUGAAGGUUCUAUGGAUCGUAAACCUCUUUUAUAAGGGAAUAAGGUGUGGGACGUGUCCUAUUUUGUAUGUACCUUAUGAAUAAGGAUCGGCUAACUCCGGGCCAGCAGCCGCGGUACUACGGAGGAUCCGAGCGUUAUCCGGAUUUAUUGGGUUUAAAGGGUGCGUAGGCGGCCUGUUAAGUCAGCGGUGAAAGUCUGUGGCUCAACCAUAGAAUUGCCGUUGAAACUGGGGGGCUUGAGUAUGGUUGAGGGAGGCAGAAUGCGAGGUGUAGCGGUGAAAUGCGUAGAUAUCGCGCAGAACCCCGAUUGCGAAGGCAGCCUGCCAAGCCAUGACUGACGCUGAUGCACGAAAGCGUGGGGAUCAAACAGGAUUAGAUACCCCGGUAGUC